RNAcentral lists this ribosomal RNA (462 nucleotides) under uncultured bacterium. RNAcentral's name for it is "partial 16S ribosomal RNA". It matches the Rfam family "Bacterial small subunit ribosomal RNA", at positions 28 to 507 of the family's 1533-position model. The record is from RNAcentral.
GACGAACGCUGGCGGCGUGCUUAACACAUGCAAGUCGAGCGGUAAGGCCUUUCGGGGUACACGAGCGGCGAACGGGUGAGUAACACGUGGGUGAUCUGCCCUGCACUUCGGGAUAAGCCUGGGAAACUGGGUCUAAUACCGGAUAUGACCUCCUAUCGCAUGGUGGGUGGUGGAAAGAUUUAUCGGUGCAGGAUGGGCCCGCGGCCUAUCAGCUUGUUGGUGGGGUAAUGGCCUACCAAGGCGACGACGGGUAGCCGACCUGAGAGGGUGACCGGCCACACUGGGACUGAGACACGGCCCAGACUCCUACGGGAGGCAGCAGUGGGGAAUAUUGCACAAUGGGCGAAAGCCUGAUGCAGCGACGCCGCGUGAGGGGUGACGGCCUUCGGGUUGUAAACCUCUUUCAGCAGGGACGAAGCGCAAGUGACGGUACCUGCAGAAGAAGCACCGGCUAACUACGUG